GCCGAUAUGGGAUAAUGGUAUUCCAAUAGCUUGCUAAGCUAUCCAACAGAAAUGUUGUCUGUGUUCGAUUCACAGUAUCGGCG
Molecule: transfer RNA, 83 nt
Filed under: Caudoviricetes sp.
Lineage: Duplodnaviria; Heunggongvirae; Uroviricota; Caudoviricetes
Description: tRNA-Ser
Rfam family: tRNA
About the family: Transfer RNA (tRNA) molecules are approximately 80 nucleotides in length. Their secondary structure includes four short double-helical elements and three loops (D, anti-codon, and T loops).
Source: RNAcentral